UACGUAGGGUGCAAGCGUUGUCCGGAAUUAUUGGGCGUAAAGAGCUCGUAGGCGGUCUGUCGCGUCGGCUGUGAAAACCCGGGGCUCAACCCCGGGCCUGCAGUCGAUACGGGCAGACUAGAGUGCGGUAGGGGAGACUGGAAUUCCUGGUGUAGCGGUGAAAUGCGCAGAUAUCAGGAGGAACACCGGUGGCGAAGGCAGGUCUCUGGGCCACUACUGACGCUGAGAAGCGAAAGCAUGGGGAGCGAACAGG
RNAcentral lists this ribosomal RNA (253 nucleotides) under uncultured bacterium. Its description in RNAcentral is "partial 16S ribosomal RNA". It matches the Rfam family "Bacterial small subunit ribosomal RNA", at positions 524 to 776 of the family's 1533-position model. The record is from RNAcentral.